UGCAUAUCCAAUAAGCGGAGGAAAAGAAACCAACUGGGAUUACCUUAGUAACGGCGAGUGAAGCGGUAAAAGCUCAAAUUUGAAAUCUGGUACUUUCAGUGCCCGAGUUGUAAUUUGUAGAAUUUGUCUUUGAUUAGGUCCUUGUCUAUGUUCCUUGGAACAGGACGUCAUAGAGGGUGAGAAUCCCGUUUGGCGAGGAUACCUUUUCUCUGUAAGACUUUUUCGAAGAGUCGAGUUGUUUGGGAAUGCAGCUCAAAGUGGGUGGUAAAUUCCAUCUAAAGCUAAAUAUUGGCGAGAGACCGAUAGCGAACAAGUACAGUGAUGGAAAGAUGAAAAGAACUUUGAAAAGAGAGUGAAAAAGUACGUGAAAUUGUUGAAAGGGAAGGGCAUUUGAUCAGACAUGGUGUUUUUUGCAUGCACUCGCCUCUCGUGGGCUUGGGCCUCUCAAAAAUUUCACUGGGCCAACAUCAAUUCUGGCAGCAGGAUAAAUCAUUAAGAAUGUAGCUACUUCGGUAGUGUUAUAGCUUUUUGGAAUACUGUUAGCCGGGAUUGAGGACUGCGCUUCGGCAAGGAUGUUGGCAUAAUGGUUAAAUGCCGCCCGUCUUGAACACGGAACCA
Molecule: ribosomal RNA, 618 nt
Filed under: Hanseniaspora uvarum
Lineage: Eukaryota; Fungi; Ascomycota; Saccharomycetes; Saccharomycodales; Saccharomycodaceae
Description: partial large subunit ribosomal RNA
Rfam family: Eukaryotic large subunit ribosomal RNA
Source: RNAcentral